AAUUUCCUUUUUAUUAAAUCUUGUUUUUAAAGAUUAUUCAUUCUUUGUUGUUGUCAGUACAUUAUUAUAGAAUAACUUAUGUAUCAUAAUUUACAUGCUAAUUCCAAUUGAUAUUUCAAUUAAAUUUUAAUAAAUAAAUAAAUAAAUUUCUAUAUCUGCAAA
Long non-coding RNA from Melitaea cinxia (Glanville fritillary), 162 nucleotides. RefSeq lists it as uncharacterized. NCBI's taxonomy places the organism in Eukaryota, Metazoa, Arthropoda, Insecta, Lepidoptera, Nymphalidae. The record is from RefSeq and is a predicted model, not a curated record. The transcript has 2 exons.